AUAGCUCUAUUGUGAGUAUAUUCUGCCAAGUCACAAGAAACACGCGCUAAGAUCUUUCGAUCAAUGUAUUAAGGGUGAGCAUCGGCAAGCUGUGCCCUGUCAAUCAAUUUAAGCCACUAGCAUGCUAACUUCUAAGACCAGCAGUGUUGAUCCAUCAUUAUCUGUCUCAUUGCUCGAAUAGACGCAACCAUUUUAUAAUUUGGCUGCUCUGCAUAAAUGCUGUUAGUCCAAUUUAUCUCUUGCGAGCUUGGACUGAAUUCACACAGCGACACCUCGAUCUAAUAUCAACCUUGUGUUUUGACAUUGCUGUGUGGCUGGCUGCAUGGCUUAGUUGUCCAUAGAGAAGCGUGACUGUUAAUGAGAGCGAGAUCUUUUUUUAAAAAAAAUUGGAUUGAAAAAAGAGAUGCCUAAUUUUUAAAAACAAGGAUAUCGUAAAUCACAUUUUCAAAUAAAUCACUAACUCAUGUUUUUUCUUCGUGAUAUUAUGAUUAGAGGUGCUAGCAAAUCGUGUUCUAGUCAGGUUUGGUCAUACUCAUAUCUCGAUCCAAAAUGUGCAAGCUCGAACCCAAUUAACACUCCACACCAUGCCGAACAUAUGGGGCUUACCAUCCAUAGCAAGUCCACUGAAACUAGGACAAAGUUUGAAACCGGAUCAGAGUUGUCAUUGAUCAAAGAUGCUCUCCUCCCUCAUCCAAUCUUAACGGUAGGGAAGGGAGAGAAACUGCGAAAUUUAGCCACUGAAGUAAUGUCCAUUUCGUGAUGAGGGUGGUGUUGUUGCUGCCAUAGUGCAGCCAUUUUGGAUUCUGAUGCUUUUUUUUAUUAUUAUUAUAAAUCUUAUUCGGAGGGGGAAAGAGGUACAUCGGCUUAGUUUUCUAAGAUCAACAAAACAAAGUCCUUCAUGUUUAAAAGAGGCUGGUAUAGUAGAAAGUGUUGGCUUGGAAAUUUUUGUGAAAUUACUUAGAACUUUUAGGCAAUGAAUGCUCCUACUUGUAGAUCUGGAUGAGGUUUUUUUCUUCAUUGUUUUUUCUUACGAGCAUCAACAUUUUCGAUCCUAAUCAUCAGACAUUUGGUUUGGAGCCACUUAGCUUUUUUUUUUCUCGCAUUUGUUUCUCUUCCCUCUGAACAAUGUAACUCCUUUUUAUCUCUCAUUUCUAUUGUAAAUAUAAUUAAUCUUCAAUAAAAGCUUAUCCGUUAAAAUAUUAUUUUUUUUAUUUUGUGGUACAAUUUUGAAUGUUAGAUUUGGUCAAAUGUUCGAGAUAUGGACGAGAGAAUGUGGUCCGGAGAAACGACGGGGACUCCCGACAAGGAGCCGUACGGGAAACAAUCAUUCAUUUUGAUUUUUUUUGUUCUUUUUUCCGAUGGAAAAGGCGACAGAGAAGCCACCCAAAUUUUAUUAUAGAUUUGAUUUUUCUAAACACGGCAAAAUAGAGAGAAGCUGGGUGCCCUUCAGAUUUUGGGUGGGACCCCAACAAAGUAAGGGCACGCUUCUCACGUUUAAUUUUCCUCCUCCGCAGACCUUAUCAUCCGCGAUAAGCAUCCUUCCCAACUUGCGUGGCGGAGAGCAGUUCACAUACAAAUAAUAGGGAAGAGAGAGAAGGGGGGUUUUGUUUGACUUGCCUCUGUUAAUUUGCUACCGACGAAUUGAUGAUUCCUCCGGUUUCAACAUCCGCUUUCUAUGCCAUCUGCAGCGAGGCUGCUGGAGUUGCUGAUUCUCUUCUUCUAGAGAAAAAUGGUGGCACCAACUCUUCAAUCGUGACAUUUAAAGGUAAUCUUUUUGCGUUAGGGUUGUUCAUCUCACCGAUACCAACCUUCAAAAGGAUCGCCAAGAAUCGAUCCACCGAGCAGUUCUCAGGGCUGCCGUACGUAUAUUCCCUCCUCAAUUGCUUGAUCUGCUUCUGGUACGGACUACCCUGUGUCGCCCACGGCGUCAUCUUGAUUGCUACCGUCAAUUCCAUUGGGGCUAUCUUCCAGUUGGUGUAUGUUGUUCUCUUUAUUAAAUAUGCCGACAAGACAAACAAGCUGAAGAUGGCUGGACUUCUGAUAUUGGUCUUCUGUGCCUUCGUUCUUAUCAUAUGUGUUAGCCUCGAGUUGUUUGACAACGGGAGACGGCAGAUGUUUGUUGGAUAUCUGAACGUCGCCUCUCUCAUUUCCAUGUUUGCAUCCCCAUUAUUCAUCAUUAAUUUGGUGAUCCGGACGAGGAGCGUCGAGUUCAUGCCUUUCUAUCUUUCUCUAUCGACCUUCCUGAUGAGCAUCUCAUUCUUUGCAUAUGGAAUGUUGAAGCAUGACUUUUUCGUAUAUAUGCCGAAUGGGAUUGGAACGAUCCUAGGGGUCAUACAGUUGUUGCUCUAUGCCUAUUACAGCAGGAAAUCGAGAGAGGAUUGUAGAUUACCGCUGCUAGUGUCAUGUGAAUGAUGCAUUUGGCAAAGAGACUUGUCGAACAUGGAUUAAGUUUUGAGUUGAUUGUAUGCCUAUCUACCAUUCUCCAAGUAAUAUAUGUGUUGUACCUGAACUGAGAAGUCAGCCAACUACGACCUCUGUAUGAAGACCAUUGUGUGGUGAAGUUUGACUCCUCGUUUUCAUAUAUUGGGAGUAGUCCCAGGUAAUACCCUGGAAAAGUUUAUUUUAAGUGACUUAUGGAAGACUAUAGCGAGCAUUUCUGCUGGUUCAGAAUUUUCCUGGCCAAGGCCUGAUGAUGAUGUCUGGUUUGCCUUUGUAUGUACUGGUGUGUUUUGUUCUGUGUAGCCAGUCAAGCCAGUAUUGUAUUUGCAUCUGUGAUAUUGAAUUUUCAUGCUGUUUUUUUUCGUUUUGAAGUGUCUUUCGACAUGAGAAAACAUUGCCUGUGAAUUCUACAUUUAUUUAUGUUUAAUUAUUUGCUUAA
RNA transcript from Phoenix dactylifera (date palm), 2878 nucleotides. It is a transcript of the gene named bidirectional sugar transporter SWEET2a-like, with no coding region annotated. The record is from RefSeq and is a predicted model, not a curated record. Lineage: Eukaryota; Viridiplantae; Streptophyta; Magnoliopsida; Arecales; Arecaceae.